UGGGGAAUUUUGGACAAUGGGCGCAAGCCUGAUCCAGCCAUGCCGCGUGCAGGAUGAAGGCCUUCGGGUUGCAAACUGCUUUUGUACGGAACGAAAAGACUCCUUCUAAUAAAGGGGGUCCAUGACGGUACCGUAAGAAUAAGCACCGGCUAACUACGUGCCAGCAGCCGCGGUAAUACGUAGGGUGCGAGCGUUAAUCGGAAUUACUGGGCGUAAAGCGUGCGCAGGCGGUUAUAUAAGACAGAUGUGAAAUCCCCGGGCUCAACCUGGGAACUGCAUUAGUGACUGUAUAGCUAGAGUACGGCAGAGGGGGAUGGAAUUCCGCGUGUAGCAGUGAAAUGCGUAGAUAUGCGGAGGAACACCGAUGGCGAAGGCAAUCCCCUGGACCUGUACUGACGCUCAUGCACGAAAGCGUGGGGAGCAAACA
This 427-nucleotide ribosomal RNA is filed under the name uncultured bacterium. RNAcentral describes it as "bacterial SSU rRNA". It matches the Rfam family "Bacterial small subunit ribosomal RNA", at positions 355 to 774 of the family's 1533-position model. The record is from RNAcentral.